AAGGGUAGAUCUCAGUGAUAGAGGGUGUGCUUAGCAUGCAUGAGGUCCUGGGUUCAAUCCCUAGUACCUCCA
Molecule: transfer RNA, 72 nt
Filed under: Camelus bactrianus (Bactrian camel)
Lineage: Eukaryota; Metazoa; Chordata; Mammalia; Artiodactyla; Camelidae
Also listed under: 2 other names
Rfam family: tRNA
About the family: Transfer RNA (tRNA) molecules are approximately 80 nucleotides in length.
Source: Rfam by way of RNAcentral